This 253-nucleotide ribosomal RNA is filed under the name uncultured Lactobacillus sp. RNAcentral's name for it is "partial 16S ribosomal RNA". It matches the Rfam family "Bacterial small subunit ribosomal RNA", at positions 524 to 776 of the family's 1533-position model. Lineage: Bacteria; Bacillati; Bacillota; Bacilli; Lactobacillales; Lactobacillaceae. The record is from RNAcentral.
UACGGAGGAUGCGAGCGUUAUCCGGAUUUAUUGGGCGUAAAGCGAGUGCAGGCGGUUCAAUAAGUCUGAUGUGAAAGCCUUCGGCUCAACCGGAGAAUUGCAUCAGAAACUGUUGAACUUGAGUGCAGAAGAGGAGAGUGGAACUCCAUGUGUAGCGGUGAAAUGCGUAGAUAUAUGGAAGAACACCAGUGGCGAAAGCGGCUCUCUGGUCUGUAACUGACGCUGAGGUUCGAAAGCGUGGGUAGCAAACAGG